ACAUUAGUUGAAUGUGGCAUUUAAUAUGUAUUUUAUUGAUAUUUUAACAUCUGCACGUUAAAGUAGGUACGUGGAAAUAUCCGUUUUACGGAACCGAAUUUUGUGCUAAAAAACUGUGCCACGCUUUUUAGAAUUUUUUUUAACUAGCGUUGGGAAGACGUGUUUAGUUGAAAAACUUUUUAGAAUUUGAUAUCAAUAUAGACUAUUUUUAGAAACUAGAAUAGUUAAUCUUUAUUACUGUGAGCUUCAUUAUUUUACUGGAUGGCUUUUUUAUUGAGUUUUUUGAUGUCUAAAACUUAGUUGUACUUUGGGCAUGAAAUUAAUGUCGAAGAUAUGCUCUUUUUUUUUCUAUACUAUUCUUUUUUUUAAGUUUUUCAUUUAUCUAUGCACCUGGAAAAUUUCAUUGAAAAAGAAGUUGUAGCAGGGUGUCUAUUUUUUGUCGCACUUUUCCUACCUAAUUUUCAAUUUUGCUGAAGUGGUCGCGGGAGACAGAGGGGUUAAAUAAACAUUGUUUACAUUUGAUUUUGAUUAAAUAAAACUUUCAGUUUUUUUUUAGAUUAAAUAAAAUGGAAAACAAAGAUGUUGAUAAAGCAACACUUACUUCAUUAAUUGUAUCAUCUAUAGCUGCUCUAUCUAUACCACCAUUAUCUGUUUCAGCUGUUCCACCUUCCACUGAUCUAACUGUGCCAUCAUCAUCUACUCCAACUGUGGCAUCUUCAUCUGCUUCAACUGUGCCAUCAUCAUCUACUCCAACUGUGCCAUCAUCAUCUGCUCUAACUGUGCCAUCAUCUGCUCCAACUGUGCCAUCAUCAUCUACUCCAACUGUGGCAUCUUCAUUUGUUCCAACUGUGCCAUCAUCAUCUACUCCAACUGUGGCAUCUUCAUCUGUUCCAACUGUUCUUACAUAUGAAGACUAUUGCCAGUAUAGAGCUCACCACCCAGGACCACUGUCGCACGCUUCUUUUUUCCGUUGGUUGCGUUAUGGGGGGGAAGACAGGCAAUCUUUUGAAUGGUCUUGUCGCCCCCCAUACUUGGGUGGUGGGACCCAUCAACGUAGAGGAGGUAGAAGAGGAGGCAGAAGAGGAGGCAGAAGAGGAGGCAGAAAAGGUGGGCUAGCCAAUGUUAAACUAAAUUGUUAAUGAUUUCAUUGGUUUUAAAACCUCCACUUCAACCAUUUAUUUGUUAUCAAAGGUGAAAUGGCUCCAAAAAAAAAGCUAUUGAUAUUUCGUGGAGCAGCCAACAAAUAUUUGACUGCUAACUUUAAAUUACCUUAUGAUGCAAAUAUUCAAUGUAGAAAUGGACACAUACUUUUUAUUUCAUUAACAAUGGUGAGUUAUAUAUCAAAACUGUCAAACAAGUCAAUGAGUUAUUUAGCAUUAACACUUACACAAAUCAUAUCCAAAAUGUAGUUAAUGUAGCAAAAAAAUGGACAAGUAACUAUAAAAGAGACAGUAAAUAUUUUGAGGAUUUUUGCAAUGAACUCUUUUCAUCUUAUAUACCUAACUUGACAAUUUCACAUUUAUCCCAGCUUUGCUCUAGUGUUUUCCCUUGUGUUUUAUCACCUGGAGAACACAACCGGUUUUUGUCUGUUAAAGAUAGUGAAGUGUUAUCUUCAGCAAGUUGCAGUAAUAAUUAAAAGUUAUUUGCACUUCAAGACAAGAAAUGACAAAUAGAGAAAAAAAAUUAAAGAGUAGAGCAUCAUAUUUAGCUACUCAGUUAGCUAAUUCUUCUAGAAAAUAUCGAAGCAAUAUAACAUUAGUUAAAUCAAAAUUAAUUAGCAUGCCAUAUAAACUAAAGGUUUUAAGGCAAAGUGUUAAAAGAAAAGAAGACAUCAUAAAAGAUUUAAGGACGACAUUGACAAAAUUAAAAAAAAGAAUGCAAACAUAUUAUUAUAGACGACAAAUUCGUAAUCAUAUAGCAACAAUAAAAACUUUAAAAAGUAGUGAAAAACAAAAGUUGCAGCAACUGAAGGUCAAACAUAACACAGAUACAAGGGGAAUUAAAAAGGUGAUUGUUAGUUUGGAAAAUGAUUUGCUUGAGAGGGAUGAGAAUGAAGCUACACUUUUAAACUUUACUAAAAAAGAAAAAAAAUAUUCAUUACAGAUGAGAAUGAUAAUUUAUAACAUGUUAUUGUGUAAUGUCCCAACAGGUAGCAUUCCAUUAUUGAUUCAGAAAAUUGGGCAAAUUAUGGGUUUUGUUUUUACUAAUACUCCCCAUCGUAAUACUGUUGAACAAAUGGCCCGUGAGCUUGGUAGUAUAUCAAGUUUGCAAGCAGCUGAAUGGGCUAUCACAAAUAGUCAACUUACUAUUGGUUUUGAUGCAACAACACAAGAAGGUGUCCAUAUUAACAGUAUUCACUUAACUUCUAAAGAUAAAUGUCUAGUCGUUGCUCUAGACCAAUUACCUGGUGGAACUGCUGAGGACUAUGAAAACCAUAUAUGUAAUGCCAUUGAUCAUAUGGCUUUUAUUUAUUCAGAUUUUCACUUGUGUAACUAUAAUGAAUUUCGUAAUUCAAUUAUUAAAAACAUUUCAAACACAAUGUCUGACAAAGUUGCUGUUAAUCAUCUCACCAUCAGCAAAGUAUGUGCUACAUGGGGAAAAAAUCUUAAUGAAAUGAACUGCCAUUUGCACCCUCUUGAUACCAUUGCCACAUCAUGUCGUUCAGCGUUGAAGUCCCUUUAGAAUGAGAGUUGUAAAUUGUAUGGAAAUGACUGUAUGGCAACUUUGAUAGUUUUGGCUAUGAAUAAAAUGAGAUAUAAAGACGUCAAAGGUGAUCCGCAAGGUUUUGUAAGUUUUUUAGAUAAUAACAAAUUACCACGUGGUAUCAUUCCAAGAUAUCGUGGAAACCGACUACACAUUCUUUUCAAUACUUGUUUUAUUUUGAUGCGGCAUUAUAGUGACUUUAAACAUUAUCUCACAAUUGGAACAGUAAAAUGUAAAAGUUUACAGGCUACUCUUCGAGGUGCUUUUUGUAAUACAACCGCCAUUAAACAAAUGUGUGUGCUUGCGGUAUUUGGAAAAGUUCUUACUGGACCCUGGAUGACAUUGUUUUAUGUAACAACAGAUAAGGCCGUGCGGUUAACCGAACCGAACCGUUCUUUCGGUGAAAACCGAAACAAAAAAACCGAAUCGAACCGAACCGAUCUAAUUAUUUAAAUCAAAAUAAAAACCGAACCGUAACUGAAAAAACUUUUAAAAACCGAUUUAAAAUUUUAAAAUUUCAAAAACAUUAUUUGACAUCAAAUUUUUAAAUAAAAUAUAAUUGUUAUUUAAUUUAAGAAGUUUCAAACCGCAGAAAAGCAAAGUUAAAAAGGGAACAAAGAAAAAUAAACAUAAUAAAAUAGCUUGCCGUGAAAUUAGAACAAAUGUUGCGGACCAUGAUGGAGUAUAAUUUUUUAAGGGUUGGAUAUCAAUAUCGUGUAGUAUAAGCUUUUUCUAAAAAGAUGUAUUUUUUUAAUCUUAUUUAAAUUUCUAAUAUUGUUUAUAAUAUUUA
This is a non-coding RNA of Hydra vulgaris (swiftwater hydra), 3493 nucleotides long. NCBI's taxonomy places the organism in Eukaryota, Metazoa, Cnidaria, Hydrozoa, Anthoathecata, Hydridae. The record is from RefSeq and is a predicted model, not a curated record.